Molecule: long non-coding RNA, 584 nt
Organism: Gossypium arboreum
Lineage: Eukaryota; Viridiplantae; Streptophyta; Magnoliopsida; Malvales; Malvaceae
Exons: 3
Source: RefSeq, a predicted model, not a curated record
UGGAUGAAAUAUGAAGUUUUAUUAAAAGAAAAAGGGGUGAAAAGAACAAAGUUUUGUCCAUCUUUGUUCAUCAUAGCUGAAAGUUAGAGAAGGGAAAGGAGAGGAGAAAGCUCUUGAGUAUUCGGUCAUUAGGAGGAGGAAAAUUGAAGGCGGUUCGUGUCUGGAUCUCGUCAGCAUAUCGUCGCAAACAGAUUUGUGAGUGUGUGAAUGCUCGUGAGGUAAAUCGAUUAAUGUUUUUGGUAAGCUGCAAAAUAUGGACUGCAAAGUGCAUGAUUUCUGUGCCCUCGAUAUUUUUGGGCUUAAUGGGCCAAAAUUGGAAUGAUGGGCCAACGGGCCCAAUUCGGUAAGAACCCUCGGUAGUGAUUCUGUUAGUACGUGAAAGGUAGGAAUAUCCAUGAAAAACUUUAAAAUAGAUAAAUUACUGAAAUACCUUUAAAAGUGAAAAAUUUGCAGUUUUACCCCUAGGAGAUAAAUUACCGAAAUACCCAUAGGGUUAAAUUGACCUAAAUGCAUGUUUGACUGUUGUUAUUUACUGCAUGCCAUGUUGUUAUUAUCUGAUGCAUGGGACUGGGAUAUUGACGGAG